AAAAGGGGUAAACUAAGAAUGCCACUUGUCAAGAGUACAAAGCGAAGAAUAGUACAAGAGAUCGAUAAAGAAAGCUACAGCGCGGCUUAGAGCAAAACUUCUCGCGGCGGAGUAGCGGAGGGACGAUCGCCACCUGGGAAGGGCGAAGAGAGACAACGGUGGCUUCUCUGUGAGCUACAAACAAAGGCCGAGGAAUCUAUUUUUGGGGCUCACCUUGAAGCUUUACUCCAAGUCUGGGGUUUUUCGACUGUUAAUUGCAUAGGGAUUUAUUAUGGAUUUCAGGUGUCUUCGGUUGUCAUUUUAAGUUUAAAAAGUAUUAUUAUAGGAGUAAAACUGUAUUGAGUUUAUAAAUUAUAAACCAUUACUAUCUGAGCCAUUGGUUUCAUUCCACGUGGGUACCUAGUAAAACAUUGGAGACGUGGCCCAAAACUAUUUGUUUAGAUCAUAAGAAUUUAUUGUCUUUACAACUGAAAAUUAUAGUACAGAGUCCCCAAUUUCCCAUCGUUACUGGUGGCCGAUCUCUCCGAUCUCCCUUCCAGUCCUCUAUCAUAGUCAAAACUCUAACACACACGAACUGAGUUGAGUGACCUCAGCCGGGUACAGAGCCUCUGCCGUACUGCCACCACCUUCACCACUCACCACCAAUCCCAUAUUUAUGUCACAGUAGUAAUGGCAAACAUCGCCAAGGAAGAGCCAAAGACUGCUCCUCAACCCGAUAGAUGGUACAAUCUAGCUCUAGGUUCUUCAUUUAAGGAUGAUUCCUCCAAGUACUGCACUUUACGAUAUGAGUUUAAACCGGCUUCGAUUGAUAAGAGCAAGGCUGGGUCGUUACGCAAAACAAAGGAGAAUAGGGUUAGUGUAGAAUUUCAGAACAAUCAAUUGGGAAAACCUAAGGUGGCAUUCGAGGGAAAAAGUGAGGAUUACAAGGAUCACGAUGCUGUAUUGUUCUUUGAUGGGGAGACUUUUCGCUUGGAGCGGCUACAUCGGGGUGUCAAACAACUCCGACACGUUCGACAGCCCGGUGAAUCGGCUGCUGCUGCUGCCGCUGCUGCAGCAGCGAUAGAGCCUCGAUUAUCUCCUGUUGCAAAGGCUCAGAAGACAGUUCAUGUUGGUAGAAGCUCAUACCCUGCAGUGCCGGUUGAGGUGGAACGAAUUGAUAUUGGUGGACCAGAGAAUGCAGUGAGUACAAAAUCUGCCAGUAAGGUGAUCGCUGAUCAUACAUCUGAACCACCAAACAUAUCUGCUGCAUCACCAGAACCUAAGAACGAUGAAGUCGAGGAACAUCAAGACAUAGACAUGGAGGACAUUUUUGGCACCGCGUCACCUGCAGCUGAAGAUGGAAAUGCUGCUGCAGAAGAUAAAUCCAACACAGGGUUUGACAUGAUCGUACCACGUCAAAAUGACACUGAUGAUGAGAUUGCUGAUGUUGAUGAUAGCGGUGAUGAAGUUGACAAGGGUCCAAAUGCUGCAGAAGCACUAAGAGCUCAAGUGAAUGCCGAGGAGAGGGGUGAACAGACUUCCUCUUCUAGUAGUAGCAGUGGAAGUGGAAGUAGUAGCGGUAGUGCAAGCAGUAGCAGCAGCGACAGCGAAGGCAGCGAUGAAGAUUCCGUCAAUUCCAUCUGAGUGUUGAUGUUAAUAACAUUUACAAGGGGAAAAACAGGAAGAAAAGAAGAAGAGGAAAGGCACAAGAAUAUAGCUACAAUUAUAAGUUCACUAAAAUUAUACCCUAAAAUAACUGAUAGUAUUGUUUUUUAAAAUAAUAUGUCCCGUCUGAAGAUUGACUAAAAGAAACUGUCACGUCAGUUGUGUGUAAUAUUUUGAUGCAUAAUUUUGAUGCAAUACUGUAACAUAUGAUAUAAUUGUUGUUUGUCGUAUCAAGUAGUGUCGAUGAAUAUUAUCGUCCCCAAAUUUUAAGACU
Humulus lupulus (European hop) is the source of this 1918-nucleotide RNA transcript. RefSeq lists it as uncharacterized. The transcript is spliced from 6 exons. NCBI's taxonomy places the organism in Eukaryota, Viridiplantae, Streptophyta, Magnoliopsida, Rosales, Cannabaceae. The record is from RefSeq and is a predicted model, not a curated record.